This 546-nucleotide ribosomal RNA is filed under the name uncultured bacterium. Its description in RNAcentral is "partial 16S ribosomal RNA". It matches the Rfam family "Bacterial small subunit ribosomal RNA", at positions 355 to 889 of the family's 1533-position model. The record is from RNAcentral.
UAGGGAAUCUUCCACAAUGGACGCAAGUCUGAUGGAGCAACGCCGCGUGAGUGAAGAAGGUUUUCGGACCGUAAAGCUCUGUUGUUGGUGAAGAAGGAUAGAGGUAGUAACUGGCCUUUAUUUGACGGUAAUCAACCAGAAAGUCACGGCUAACUACGUGCCAGCAGCCGCGGUAAUACGUAGGUGGCAAGCGUUGUCCGGAUUUAUUGGGCGUAAAGCGAGCGCAGGCGGAAGAAUAAGUCUGAUGUGAAAGCCCUCGGCUUAACCGAGGAAUUGCAUCGGAAACUGUUUUUCUUGAGUGCAGAAGAGGAGAGUAGAACUCCAUGUGUAGCGGUGGAAUGCGUAGAUAUAUGGAAGAAUACCAGUGGCGAAGGCGGCUCUCUGGUCUGCAAACUGACGCUGAGGCUCGAAAAGCAUGGGUAGCGAACAGGAUUAGAUACCCUGGUAGUCCAUGCCGUAAACGAUGAGUGCUAAGUGUUGGGAGGCUUCCGCCUCUCAGUGCUGCAGCUAACGCAUUAAGCACUCCGCCUGGGGGAGUACGACCGC